CCCCGGUAAACGGCGGCCGUAACUAUAACGGUCCUAAGGUAGCGAAAUUCCUUGUCGGGUAAGUUCCGACCUGCACGAAUGGCGUAAUGAUGGCCAGGCUGUCUCCACCCGAGACUCAGUGAAAUUGAACUCGCUGUGAAGAUGCAGUGUACCCGCGGCAAGACGGAAAGACCCCGUGAACCUUUACUAUAGCUUGACACUGAACAUUGAGCCUUGAUGUGUAGGAUAGGUGGGAGGCUUUGAAGUGUGGACGCCAGUCUGCAUGGAGCCGACCUUGAAAUACCACCCUUUAAUGUUUGAUGUUCUAACGUGGACCCGUAAUCCGGGUUGCGGACAGUGUCUGGUGGGUAGUUUGACUGGGGCGGUCUCCUCCUAAAGAGUAACGGAGGAGCACGAAGGUUGGCUAAUCCUGGUCGGACAUCAGGAGGUUAGUGCAAUGGCAUAAGCCAGCUUGACUGCGAGCGUGACGGCGCGAGCAGGUGCGAAAGCAGGUCAUAGUGAUCCGGUGGUUCUGAAUGGAAGGGCCAUCGCUCAACGGAUAAAAGGUACUCCGGGGAUAACAGGCUGAUACCGCCCAAGAGUUCAUAUCGACGGCGGUGUUUGGCACCUCGAUGUCGGCUCAUCACAUCCUGGGGCUGAAGUAGGUCCCAAGGGUAUGGCUGUUCGCCAUUUA
This 673-nucleotide ribosomal RNA is filed under the name Salmonella enterica subsp. enterica serovar Typhimurium. RNAcentral describes it as "partial 23S ribosomal RNA". It matches the Rfam family "Bacterial large subunit ribosomal RNA", at positions 1918 to 2590 of the family's 2925-position model. The record is from RNAcentral. Lineage: Bacteria; Pseudomonadati; Pseudomonadota; Gammaproteobacteria; Enterobacterales; Enterobacteriaceae.